AUUGAACGCUGGCGGAAUGCUUUACACAUGCAAGUCGAACGGCAGCACGGACUUCGGUCUGGUGGCGAGUGGCGAACGGGUGAGUAAUGUAUCGGAACGUGCCCAGUCGUGGGGGAUAACGUAGUGAAAAUUACGCUAAUACCGCAUACGAUCUAUGGAUGAAAGCGGGGGAUCGCAAGACCUCGCGCGAUUGGAGCGGCCGAUAUCAGAUUAGGUAGUUGGUGGGGUAAAGGCCCACCAAGCCAACGAUCUGUAGCUGGUCUGAGAGGACGACCAGCCACACUGGAACUGAGACACGGUCCAGACUCGUACGGGCGUCAGCAGUGGGGAAUUUUGGACAAUGGGCGAAAGCCUGAUCCAGCCAUUCCGCGUGCAGGAUGAAGGCCCUCAGGUUGUAAACUGCUUUUGUACAGAACGAAAAGGUUUCUACUAAUACUAGGAGCUCAUGACGGUACCGUAAGAAUAAGCACCGGCUAACUACGUGCCAGCAGCCGCCGUAA
RNAcentral lists this ribosomal RNA (500 nucleotides) under uncultured bacterium. RNAcentral's name for it is "partial 16S ribosomal RNA". It matches the Rfam family "Bacterial small subunit ribosomal RNA", at positions 30 to 523 of the family's 1533-position model. The record is from RNAcentral.